CGGCAACAGCUCAAAUUUGAAAUCUGGCCCCCCCGGGGUCCGAGUUGUAAUUUGGAGAGGAUGCUUUUGGGUGGCCGCCGGCCUAAGUUCCUUGGAACAGGACGUCACAGAGGGUGAGAAUCCCGUACGUGGCCGGAGAGGCGCCCUCCGUAAAGCUCCUUCGAC
This 165-nucleotide ribosomal RNA is filed under the name Myriangium sp. Its description in RNAcentral is "partial large subunit ribosomal RNA". It matches the Rfam family "Eukaryotic large subunit ribosomal RNA", at positions 99 to 261 of the family's 3401-position model. The record is from RNAcentral. Lineage: Eukaryota; Fungi; Ascomycota; Dothideomycetes; Myriangiales; Myriangiaceae.